RNAcentral lists this ribosomal RNA (279 nucleotides) under uncultured bacterium. Its description in RNAcentral is "partial 16S ribosomal RNA". It matches the Rfam family "Bacterial small subunit ribosomal RNA", at positions 506 to 784 of the family's 1533-position model. The record is from RNAcentral.
UGCCAGCCGCCGCGGUAAUACGAAGGGAGCUAGCGUUGCUCGGAAUCACUGGGCGUAAAGCGCGUGUAGGUGGAAAUGAAAGCUAGAGGUGAAAGCCCGGGGCUCAACCUCGGAAUGUCCUUUAGAACUACAUUUCUAGAAUCUGUUAGAGGGUAGUGGAAUUCCUAGUGUAGCGGUGAAAUGCGUAGAUAUUAGGAGGAACACCAGUGGCGAAGGCGACUACCUGGGACAGUAUUGACACUAAGACGCGAAAGCGUGGGGAGCAAACAGGAUUAGAUA